CUCUCAUCGUGGUUGAUCGCUGCCAGCGUACGUAGUGUACGUAUUACGUCCCUGUGUCAGCGGGAAAUGGUCCAACAGUCAGCCUCGCGUGUGGAGACUUCAGAAGAUGCCAGACCUCACAAAGAUUUCAGAUGAUGGAAACUAUAGAUGAACAUGCAAAGCUGUUAAAUAAUCCUUAUAUUGUAAUCAUUGCCCUAAAAGGGAGGAACUUGUCAGCAAAUCUACUUCACAGCACAUCAGUGAAAGCAGUUAACAGUUACAGACGUGUGUGUUGGAUCAGGGUCAGAUCUGAAUUCUGCAGGUUUCCUGUGAUGACCGUUGAAGAGAUCAGCACAUCAGAUGUUGGCCUGGACAGCUGUACCUACAGUACACCACACUGACUUCUUUGCAUGGAUAGCUGACUACUACUACUACUAUUAUGUUCUGUGAAGCAAACACAACAAAACAGUUACACCAUUUCAUAUUCUGCUUUGCACAAACCCUAUUCUACAAAUAAGAGAACAACAGUAUAGACCCUUUGCACGUGACGUCACCCUCUACUCGCACGAAUUGUGAAUGCCACGACGGACGGCAGAAGAGCUUUGCUGUAGGACGGACCGCAAGCCAAACGAGUACGAGUUCGUGUUCGUUCGUGUAAUAAAAUGUUUUGUUUUUUUUUUCGCUGCAGUGUUUAAUGUGAAAGGCUGUGAAUUCUCUGUGGACUUCAAGUGUUCAGAGAAAUACAUCGCGACCCAGAUCGCAAACUGACAUAGAAUCAACGUAGAAUCGACGUUUCUCGCGGAGUCGAAACGACGUUGAUCUCCGACGUCGAUCCAACAUAGUUUUGCUCAUCGGGUUAACGUUGAUCCGACGUCAGGCGCGCCAUUCAAAACUAACGGAAAAUCGACGCAAUUGGUUGUCUUACCUAACGUUGAAUCGACGUCGAUUUCCAGUUAGUUGAAACGACGUCAGAGAAUCAAUACGUUUUCAACAUAAAAUCGAUCUAAUUGGUUUGCUUACCUAACAUUGAAACGACGUUGAUUUCAUUGGGGUAAAACUACUUUACUAUUCACAUUUUCUGCUUGUUUUAAAAAUCUCACAUACUUACUACUAAAUAAAUUAGCCUGUAUAAUUAAAACUUUAUUAAACACAUCACAUUCAGUCACAAUUUCUUUAUUAUUUAUACAAUACAGUUUAUACACAGUUACAAAUACAUGUGUAGAGCACAAACCUUCUCAAGUCAAGAAAAUGCUUUUACACACAAAUAGGUAUAAAGUAUAUUAUAGGCUAAUAUAAAUUGUGUCAAGUAAAAAAGCUAUUAAAAACAAAUUAAAAGCUAUAUUCACUGAAUAAAAAAAAAAAAAUAUGACCAACUGUGUUUGACUUAUUUUCAGUGAGUCACAAAAGAAGAUGCAAGGCAGAACCUUACGAACUGACAGCCUCAGUCACAGUUCACUAUCAUUACUUUUCUAAAAAAAUAUAUAUACACAUAUAAAAAAAUAAUGGUGACGGAGGCUGUCACUCUUUGCUUUUGUGUUCCACAAAAUAAAAGAC
Molecule: long non-coding RNA, 1533 nt
Organism: Carassius auratus (goldfish)
Lineage: Eukaryota; Metazoa; Chordata; Actinopteri; Cypriniformes; Cyprinidae
Exons: 5
Source: RefSeq, a predicted model, not a curated record